UGCAGUCGAGCGGGGGAAGGUAGCUUGCUACUGGACCUAGCGGCGGACGGGUGAGUAAUGCUUAGGAAUCUGCCUAUUAGUGGGGGACAACAUCUCGAAAGGGAUGCUAAUACCGCAUACGUCCUACGGGAGAAAGCAGGGGAUCUUCGGACCUUGCGCUAAUAGAUGAGCCUAAGUCGGAUUAGCUAGUUGGUGGGGUAAAGGCCUACCAAGGCGACGAUCUGUAGCGGGUCUGAGAGGAUGAUCCGCCACACUGGGACUGAGACACGGCCCAGACUCCUACGGGAGGCAGCAGUGGGGAAUAUUGGACAAUGGGGGGAACCCUGAUCCAGCCAUGCCGCGUGUGUGAAGAAGGCCUUAUGGUUGUAAAGCACUUUAAGCGAGGAGGAGGCUACUUUAGUUAAUACCUAGAGAUAGUGGACGUUACUCGCAGAAUAAGCACCGGCUAACUCUGUGCCAGCAGCCGCGGUAAUACAGAGGGUGCGAGCGUUAAUCGGAUUUACUGGGCGUAAAGCGUGCGUAGGCGGCUUAUUAAGUCGGAUGUGAAAUCCCCGAGCUUAACUUGGGAAUUGCAUUCGAUACUGGUGAGCUAGAGUAUGGGAGAGGAUGGUAGAAUUCCAGGUGUAGCGGUGAAAUGCGUAGAGAUCUGGAGGAAUACCGAUGGCGAAGGCAGCCAUCUGGCCUAAUACUGACGCUGAGGUACGAAAGCAUGGGGAGCAAACAGGAUUAGAUACCCUGGUAGUCCAUGCCGUAAACGAUGUCUACUAGCCGUUGGGGCCUUUGAGGCUUUAGUGGCGCAGCUAACGCGAUAAGUAGACCGCCUGGGGAGUACGGUCGCAAGACUAAAACUCAAAUGAAUUGACGGGGGCCCGCACAAGCGGUGGAGCAUGUGGUUUAAUUCGAUGCAACGCGAAGAACCUUACCUGGCCUUGACAUACUAGAAACUUUCCAGAGAUGGAUUGGUGCCUUCGGGAAUCUAGAUACAGGUGCUGCAUGGCUGUCGUCAGCUCGUGUCGUGAGAUGUUGGGUUAAGUCCCGCAACGAGCGCAACCCUUUUCCUUACUUGCCAGCAUUUCGGAUGGGAACUUUAAGGAUACUGCCAGUGACAAACUGGAGGAAGGCGGGGACGACGUCAAGUCAUCAUGGCCCUUACGGCCAGGGCUACACACGUGCUACAAUGGUCGGUACAAAGGGUUGCUACACAGCGAUGUGAUGCUAAUCUCAAAAAGCCGAUCGUAGUCCGGAUUGGAGUCUGCAACUCGACUCCAUGAAGUCGGAAUCGC
Molecule: ribosomal RNA, 1283 nt
Filed under: Acinetobacter baumannii
Lineage: Bacteria; Pseudomonadati; Pseudomonadota; Gammaproteobacteria; Moraxellales; Moraxellaceae
Description: bacterial SSU rRNA
Rfam family: Bacterial small subunit ribosomal RNA
Source: RNAcentral